RNAcentral lists this ribosomal RNA (1677 nucleotides) under Desulfitibacter alkalitolerans DSM 16504. RNAcentral describes it as "bacterial LSU rRNA". It matches the Rfam family "Bacterial large subunit ribosomal RNA", at positions 1265 to 2925 of the family's 2925-position model. Lineage: Bacteria; Bacillati; Bacillota; Clostridia; Neomoorellales; Desulfitibacteraceae. The record is from RNAcentral.
AAGGACAUGUGGAGAGCUAAGAAGAGAGAAUGCCGGUAUGAGUAUGCGAGAAAGAGGUGAGAAACCUCUUCACCGGAAGCCUAAGGUUUCCUGGGGAAGGCUCGUCCGCCCAGGGUAAGUCGGGACCUAAGCCGAGGCGUAAAGCGUAGGCGAUGGACAAUCGGUUGAAAUUCCGAUACCACCAUAUAACCGUUUGAAGGAAGUGGUGACACAGGAGGGUAGGUUAAGCGCACCGUUGGUCGAGUGCGUCCAAGCCAGUAGGAGGUAGAGGCAGGCAAAACCGCCUCUAUGCUAACUCCAAGAGGUAACGGGGAGCGAAAAUAAGUAGCGAACUAACUGAGCCCACACUGUCAAGAAAAGCCACUAACGAGGUUAUGAGGUGCCCGUACCGCAAACCGACACAGGUAGGCAGGGAGAGAAUCCUAAGGUGAGCGAGAGAACCCUUGUUAAGGAACUCGGCAAAAUGACCCCGUAACUUAGGGAUAAGGGGAGCCUCAUGUAGGGUAGGUAUUUAAGCAAAUACUGGCUCGAAGAGGCCGCAGAGAAUUGGCCCAAGCGACUGUUUAGCAAAAACACAGGUACCUGCUAAGGAGAAAUCCGAAGUAUAGGCGCUGACGCCUGCCCGGUGCUGGAAGGUUAAGGGGAGAGGUGCAAGCCUUGAACUGAAGCCCCAGUAAACGGCGGCCGUAACUAUAACGGUCCUAAGGUAGCGAAAUUCCUUGUCGGGUAAGUUCCGACCCGCACGAAAGGCGUAACGAUUUGGGCACUGUCUCAACAGGGGGCUCGGCGAAAUUGUAGUACCCGUGAAGAUGCGGGUUACCUGCGGCAGGACAGAAAGACCCCGUGGAGCUUUACUGCAGCCUGAUAUUGGGCUUUGGCAUGUUAUGUACAGGAUAGGUGGGAGACUGAGAUACUAGGGCGCCAGCCUUGGAGGAGUCAAUGGUGGGAUACCACUCUUAACAUGCUAGGGUUCUAACCAGUAUCCAUGAAACUGGAUAUGGGACAGUGUCAGGUGGGCAGUUUGACUGGGGCGGUCGCCUCCCAAAAAGUAACGGAGGCGCCCAAAGGUUCGUUCAGCACGGAUGGAAAUCGUGCGUAGAGUGUAAAGGCAGAAACGAGCUUAACUGCGAGACAGACAAGUCGAGCAGAUACGAAAGUAGGGCUUAGUGAUCCGGCGGUACCGAGUGGAAGGGCCGUCGCUCAACGGAUAAAAGCUACCCCGGGGAUAACAGGCUUAUCUCCCCCAAGAGUCCAUAUCGACGGGGAGGUUUGGCACCUCGAUGUCGGCUCAUCGCAUCCUGGGGCUGAAGUAGGUCCCAAGGGUUGGGCUGUUCGCCCAUUAAAGCGGUACGUGAGCUGGGUUCAGAACGUCGUGAGACAGUUCGGUCCCUAUCCGCCGCAGGCGCAGGAGAUUUGAGAGGAAUUGCCCCUAGUACGAGAGGACCGGGGUGAACAAACCUCUGGUGCACCAGUUGUCGUGCCAACGGCACAGCUGGGUAGCUAAGUUUGGCAGGGAUAAGUGCUGAAAGCAUCUAAGCACGAAGCCCCCCUCAAGAUAAGAUUUCCCACUGGCAAACCAGGUAAGACACCUGAGAGAACAUCAGGUAGAUAGGCCGGAGGUGUAAGGGCAGUAAUGUCUUUAGCUGACCGGUACUAAUAAGUCGAGGGCUUGAUCUA